GAUGCUGGAUUGGUGGUUUGGUUCUCAGGUGGCUCCUAGAGGAGCCGCAGUAUGGAAACCACUGGCCUGCUCCUGCCUCUGAGAAAAUGAAGCUGGAGGAAAAGAUGUAAAGAUGUAUUUUUUCCAAACUUGCGAUGUUUUAUACAGAAUCUUUCUUAGUGCUUCCACAUAGUUAUUGAAGUAAGCCCGAGAAUUUGCAUUUCUGACAAGAUCCCAGGAUCUGAACGUCUAUGACACUCUUUCGAGCUGACACAGUGAAGAACAUAGAAGGAGAACUCACCCAGUCUGCCAGGGUCACAGAAUGAUCAUACUCAAGAUCUUCCUGGGGAGUCAAUGGC
RNAcentral lists this long non-coding RNA (338 nucleotides) under Homo sapiens (human). Its description in RNAcentral is "HSALNT0159244". The record is from RNAcentral. Lineage: Eukaryota; Metazoa; Chordata; Mammalia; Primates; Hominidae.